UAGUCCACGCCGUAAACGAUGAUAACUAGCUGUCCGAACCCACAGGGUUUGGGUGGCGCAGCUAACGCAUUAAGUUAUCCGCCUGGGGAGUACGGUCGCAAGAUUAAAACUCAAAGGAAUUGACGGGGGCCUGCACAAGCGGUGGAGCAUGUGGUUUAAUUCGACGCAACGCGCAGAACCUUACCAGCUUUUGACAUCCUGGUCGCGGAUUUGGGAGACCAUUUCCUUCAGUUCGGCUGGACCAGUGACAGGUGCUGCAUGGCUGUCGUCAGCUCGUGUCGUGAGAUGUUGGGUUAAGUCCCGCAACGAGCGCAACCCUCAUUCUUUAGUUGCCAGCAUUUAGUUGGGCACUCUAAAGAGACUGCCGACGUUAAGUCGGAGGAAGGUGGGGGAUGACGUCAAGUCCUCAUGGCCCUUAUACUCCAGGGCUACACACGUGCUACAAUGGUAGGUACAAAGAGCAGCUAAACCGCGAGGUCAUGCGAAUCUCAUAAACGCCUAUCU
Molecule: ribosomal RNA, 504 nt
Filed under: uncultured bacterium
Lineage: Bacteria
Description: bacterial SSU rRNA
Rfam family: Bacterial small subunit ribosomal RNA
Source: RNAcentral